RNAcentral lists this ribosomal RNA (492 nucleotides) under uncultured bacterium. Its description in RNAcentral is "partial 16S ribosomal RNA". It matches the Rfam family "Bacterial small subunit ribosomal RNA", at positions 29 to 507 of the family's 1533-position model. The record is from RNAcentral.
AGUGAACGCUGGCGGUAGGCCUAACACAUGCAAGUCGAACGGCAGCACAGUAAGAGCUUGCUCUUACGGGUGGCGAGUGGCGGACGGGUGAGGAAUACAUCGGACUCUACUUUUUCGUGGGGGAUAACGUAGGGAAACUUACGCUAAUACCGCAUACGCCCUACGGGUGAAAGCAGGGGAUCUUCGGACCUUGCGCGAUUGAAUGAGCCGAUGUCGGAUUAGCUAGUUGGCGGGGUAAAGGCCCACCAAGGCGACGAUCCGUAGCUGGUCUGAGAGGAUGAUCAGCCACAUGGGAACUGAGACACGGUCCAGACGACUAAGGGAGGCAGCAGUGGGGAAUAUUGGACAAUGGGCGCAAGCCUGAUCCAGCCAGACCGAGUGGGUGAAGAAGGCCUUCGGGUUGGAAAGACCUUUUGUGGGGAAAGAAAAGCAGCAGGUUAAGACCCAGCUGUUCUGACGGUACCCAAAGAAUAAGCACCGGCUAACUUCGUG